Small nucleolar RNA from Salvia splendens (bonfire salvia), 84 nucleotides. RefSeq annotates it as small nucleolar RNA SNORD34. The transcript has a single exon. The record is from RefSeq and is a predicted model, not a curated record. NCBI's taxonomy places the organism in Eukaryota, Viridiplantae, Streptophyta, Magnoliopsida, Lamiales, Lamiaceae.
AAAGGCCUGUGAUGAAGAACAUAUUUGCCUACAUUGUCUGAUUGCUCUAGUUGAAGAGUCUUUUCCUACAAGUCUGAGGCCUUU